CGUGGACUUGCGAAUGUGGGCAAUAGAGACAAGACUGAACGUAGCCGGAGGCGGAGCCAGGAUCCUCGGGGCACAGGCGGUGCAUGGAGACCCAUAAAUGGAGAAACUGAGGCCUGGGCCAGGCAGGCUCACACCCUGAUGGGCAGCCUGUACAUCAACGGUCCCUCCACCCCCAGGAGGAAUUGCCCCUUUUCAAUAUCACUUCUCUGCAAGAUGUCGGAGCCAUGGGGUCAAACGUGCCAAGGACGUUCCUGCAGGCUUCGC
Molecule: long non-coding RNA, 264 nt
Filed under: Homo sapiens (human)
Lineage: Eukaryota; Metazoa; Chordata; Mammalia; Primates; Hominidae
Description: non-protein coding lnc-NKX1-1-5:1
Source: RNAcentral